GAUGAACGCUGGCGGCGUGCCUAAUACAUGCAAGUCGAGCGAACAGACGAGGAGCUUGCUCCUCUGACGUUAGCGGCGGACGGGUGAGUAACACGUGGAUAAACUACCUAUAAGACUGGGAUAACUUCGGGAAACCGGAGCUAAUACCGGAUAAUAUAUUGAACCGCAUGGUUCAAUAGUGAAAGACGGUUUUGCUGUCACUUAUAGAUGGAUCCGCGCCGCAUUAGCUAGUUGGUAAGGUAACGGCUUACCAAGGCAACGAUGCGUAGCCGACCUGAGAGGGUGAUCGGCCACACUGGAACUGAGACACGGUCCAGACUCCUACGGGAGGCAGCAGUAGGGAAUCUUCCGCAAUGGGCGAAAGCCUGACGGAGCAACGCCGCGUGAGUGAUGAAGGUCUUCGGAUCGUAAAACUCUGUUAUUCGGGAAGAACAAAUGUGUAAGUAACUAUGAACGUCUUGACGGUACCUAAUCAGAAAGCCACGGCUAACUACGUG
This 497-nucleotide ribosomal RNA is filed under the name uncultured bacterium. RNAcentral's name for it is "partial 16S ribosomal RNA". It matches the Rfam family "Bacterial small subunit ribosomal RNA", at positions 28 to 507 of the family's 1533-position model. The record is from RNAcentral.